This is a long non-coding RNA of Myotis myotis, 1674 nucleotides long. RefSeq lists it as uncharacterized. The record is from RefSeq and is a predicted model, not a curated record. The transcript has 3 exons. Lineage: Eukaryota; Metazoa; Chordata; Mammalia; Chiroptera; Vespertilionidae.
GGUCUAUCAGCAUCACACUCGCCCUGGGAUCAGCAUCCCCAGAUUACUUAGGCUAAGCAGAAUCUCACUCACCUCAUUCACCCUUCCUGAAGGCUUGCUAUGGGUCAGGCUUUGAACUGACAAUAAGCUAGUACCAACCUACCCUCAAAUCAUGACUUCUCUUCCUUGGCAGCUUCUCCAAAGUGCACCUUGUUUCGAGAACAAGCCACACCGAAAGAUGAUGGCGACAAAUAUAUUUUGUGUGAGGCAAGUGGGUUCUACCCAAAAGACAUUAACAUCACAUGGUAUAUAUAUACCCAGGAGAAUCCCCAGGGCCAGGAGAUUUCUGAAGGCAUCACCAAUGGUCCAGCCAUCAAGAAUGAGGACGGCACAUUUAACAUCACCAGCCGUUUGAGGCUGAACCAAACUCUGGAACACAAUGUGACCACCUACCAAUGUGUGAUAAGUCACAUAUCCUUGCCCACCUCCAGGAGGUCGAACUUCACCCUGUCUGGGAGAGGAUCUGAGAUGGGAAAUGCCUGGGGGACUACUGCUACUUGGAUUGCUGUUGGCUUUAUUGGAGCAGGCAUUUUAAUUGUACUGAUUGUAUGGAAAAGAAAGCUGCUUCUCAGAAGAUUCAAACCACUACCACAAGAAGAGACUGAAGAAUUGUAACUCGGUGCUUUCACUAAGGUGCAUUCAUGAUGUAUUCAGAUGGAGGAGCACUGGAAGACUGGCAGUUCUUACACAGUGACAGAUAGCAGAAACCACAAGCUUUCUCAGAGAACGUGUAAGUAACUGACAUUACCUUUCCUGAUGACUGCCACAGCUUGCUCAAGAGCAGACCAUUCAAGUUGCCCUCCUGGAUAGCCUCCAGCCAAUCAUCUCUUUUCAAGAAAAGGAAAAAGCAACGCUUCCCAAAGAAGAUAGACAAUUGGCCAGCAGGGAUAUAAAAAGGUGCUCAACAUCAUUAAUCAUCAGGGAGAUGCAAAUCAAAACAAUGAGACAUCACCUCACGCCUCUUGGAAUGCCUACUAUCAAAAAGACAAGAAAUAAAACGUAGUGGCAAGGAUGUGGUGAAAAGGGAAGACUUGGGUACUGUCGGUGGGAAUAUAAAUGGGCGCAGCCAUUACAGAAACAGUAUGGAAGUUCCAAAAAAAUUAAAAAUGGAACUACAGUAUGCAGCAAUUUUACUUCUGGGUAUUUAUCUAGAGGAAAGGAAUAUUCGAACUUGAAAAGUUAUCUGUACCUCCAUCUUCAUUGCACCAUUACUUGCAAUAGCAAAGACAUGGAAUCAACUUAAAUGUCAUCGAUGGAUGAGUGGAUAAAGAAAAUGUGAUACACUCAUACACACACAGUCAUGCACCACUUAACAAAGGGGAUACAUUCCGAGAAAUAUAUUGUUAGGCAAUUUCGUUGUUGUGUUAACAUCAUUGAUUAUACUUACACAAACCUAGAUGGUAUACUAGUAGCCUAUUGCUCCUGUACAGUCAGGCUACACUAAAAUCAUAAAACAAUAUGAGACCAAAUCAAGCAGAAGAGAAAAUGAUAUCAAGAAAUACAGUCAACAGGCUAGGCUGCUGCUAGUGUAACUCCACAUGCUGUUUUUCAGCUAACUUAUUUUUUAAACAAAUAUAUUUCUUUAUUGAUUUCAGAGAGGAAAGGAGAAGGAGAGAGAGAUAGAAACAUCAAUGA